This 253-nucleotide ribosomal RNA is filed under the name uncultured bacterium. RNAcentral's name for it is "partial 16S ribosomal RNA". It matches the Rfam family "Archaeal small subunit ribosomal RNA", at positions 474 to 727 of the family's 1478-position model. The record is from RNAcentral.
UACCAGCACCCCGAGUGGUCGGGACGAUUAUUGGGCCUAAAGCAUCCGUAGCCGGUUUUACAAGUCCUCUGUUAAAUCCAGCUGCUUAACAGAUGGGCUGCGGAGGAUACUAUAAGACUAGGAGGCAGGAGAGGCAAGCGGUACUCAGUGGGUAGGGGUAAAAUCCGUUGAUCCAUUGAAGACCACCAGUGGCGAAGGCGGCUUGCCAGAAUGCGCUCGACGGUGAGGGAUGAAAGCUGGGGGAGCAAACCGG